This 364-nucleotide unclassified non-coding RNA is filed under the name uncultured fungus. RNAcentral describes it as "sequence contains ITS1". The stretch from base 1 to 101 matches the Rfam family "5.8S ribosomal RNA", at positions 50 to 154 of the family's 154-position model. Lineage: Eukaryota; Fungi. The record is from RNAcentral.
GAAGUGCGAAAAGUGUCAUGACUUGCAGAUUCCCGAGAGCUGACAAAUCUCUGAAUGCAAAUGGCGGCCGGACAAGACCGGCCAUGUAUUGUAGAGUGUAGAUGCUCCAGCACAUCAUCACGCCUCACUUUGAAGCGUGGAUCUGCGCUAGUGGUUUGACUUCGAGCGUGAAAUGGAAAGAGGAGUGUGUGGUGCUGAUGUUUGACAUCUGGCCAUUACACGCUUGGAUAUGGUUCACCAAUCUAACGGUGUCUUGUGUCUUAUGUUAUUUGGCGAAUUUCUGCCACUUCUUAGCUUCGAUAGUAUAUAUAUCAUAUAUAUCUAUGAGCCACCUCUACAAUGCAGGAUAACCCGCUGAACUUAA